CCUGCACCCAGUUCCCCGCGUGUCUUUCUCUCCCGGAACGACGGCACGUUUUGCAAAGUAGGAAAUCCACGUUGGUUCGUCCCUGUUCGCGGAAGCCUAGACUGCGGGUCUCCGGGCCCCGCCCCCGCAGUUAGGGUCCGAGUCUCCUGAGCCUUUGCGGAGCUGCAGCCAUCUCUGAGACUUCCCGUGUUUUUUGCAACCUGCACAGUUUCAAAGCGGACUGUUUGGGGAAGUAGGGCGGCUGUAUCAUCACCCUGGAAAGAACACGGGUCCUACUGAUAAGGAAGUCGGGGAGCACGGAUAUUAUCCCCUCGGCCGUGAAUGGAGAUGAGCCACAUUUGCCUUACGCAUGCCGACAGAAAUCCCGGCGUCCCCGCCCGCACGAGGCACCAAGGGAAGGAUUACACAUCACAGCCCUCAGGGCAUGGGUGCGUGACGAGCUGCUGGCCCAUGGGGGGACCGAUGGAAGCAACGUCUCCAACGUCUGAACUAAGCCACGGUCUCUUGGUCGGAGGAGGAGGAAGAAAUCUGGUGCUGUGUCCUAUUCCAUGACGCGAGCGCGGGCUUUCCGAGGACGAGCGCCCUCCACUCGGCUUCCCCACCAUCCCACGAGACGCCUUUGAACCUGAACCCCUUGCCCCACAUUACUUCCUCCGGUGAAACCGCUCAGUCGCU
This 675-nucleotide long non-coding RNA is filed under the name Mustela putorius furo (domestic ferret). Its description in RNAcentral is "lncRNA (ENSMPUG00000029165.1)". Lineage: Eukaryota; Metazoa; Chordata; Mammalia; Carnivora; Mustelidae. The record is from RNAcentral.